Molecule: ribosomal RNA, 495 nt
Filed under: uncultured bacterium
Lineage: Bacteria
Description: bacterial SSU rRNA
Rfam family: Bacterial small subunit ribosomal RNA
Source: RNAcentral
GAUGAACGCUAGCGGCAGGCUUAACACAUGCAAGUCGAGGGGUAGCAGGAUUUAGUUUACUAGAUUGCUGACGACCGGCGCACGGGUGAGUAACGCGUAUACAAUUUGCCUUUUACUGGAGGAUAGCCCAGAGAAAUUUGGAUUAAUACUCCAUAGUAUUAUUUAGUCACCUGGCUGAGUAAUUAAAGUUCCGGCGGUAAAAGAUGAGUAUGCGUCCUAUUAGCUAGAUGGUAAGGUAACGGCUUACCAUGGCGACGAUAGGUAGGGGUCCUGAGAGGGAGAUCCCCCACACUGGUACUGAGACACGGACCAGACUCCUACGGGAGGCAGCAGUGAGGAAUAUUGGGCAAUGGAGGCAACUCUGACCCAGCCAUGCCGCGUGCAGGAAGACUGCCCUAUGGGUUGUAAACUGCUUUUAUACAGGAAGAAACUUACCCACGUGUGGGUAACUGACGGUACUGUAAGAAUAAGGACCGGCUAACUCCGUGCCAGCAG